UACGGGGGGGGCAAGCGUUGUUCGGAAUUACUGGGCGUAAAGGGCUCGUAGGCGGCCAACUAAGUCGGAUGUGAAAUCCCUCGGCUUAACCGGGGAACUGCGUCCGAUACUGGAUGGCUUGAGUUCGGGAGAGGGAUGCGGAAUUCCAGGUGUAGCGGUGAAAUGCGUAGAUAUCUGGAGGAACACCGGUGGCGAAGGCGGCAUCCUGGACCAACACUGACACUGAGGAGCGAAAGCCAGGGGAGCAAACGGG
RNAcentral lists this ribosomal RNA (253 nucleotides) under uncultured bacterium. RNAcentral's name for it is "partial 16S ribosomal RNA". It matches the Rfam family "Bacterial small subunit ribosomal RNA", at positions 524 to 776 of the family's 1533-position model. The record is from RNAcentral.